UCAGGCCUAACACAUGCAAGUCGAACGGCAGCACGGGAGCAAUCCUGGAAAAGAGUGGCGAACGGGUGAGUAAUGUAUCGGAACGUGCCCAGUCGUGGGGGAUAACGUAGCGAAAGUUACGCUAAUACCGCAUACGAUCUAUGGAUGAAAGCGGGGGACCGUAAGGCCUCGCGCGAUUGGAGCGGCCGAUAUCAGAUUAGGUAGUUGGUGGGGUAAAGGCCCACCAAGCCGACGAUCUGUAGCUGGUCUGAGAGGACGACCAGCCACACUGGGAGGGAGAC
This 281-nucleotide ribosomal RNA is filed under the name uncultured bacterium. RNAcentral's name for it is "partial 16S ribosomal RNA". It matches the Rfam family "Bacterial small subunit ribosomal RNA", at positions 43 to 325 of the family's 1533-position model. The record is from RNAcentral.